GGCGCAGUUGGCGCGGGCGGCGCGGGCGCGAGCGUCGCUUCAACCAAUGCCAUUUCCAACGGCAGCGUUGGACUCGCGCUGUGCCGC
This 87-nucleotide transfer RNA is filed under the name Chloroflexota bacterium. Its description in RNAcentral is "tRNA-Sec". The record is from RNAcentral. Lineage: Bacteria; Bacillati; Chloroflexota.